GGGUGCUUGAGGCUGUCUGGCCUUGAGCAAGACCAGGCCCCAGACAGACGAAAGCCCCAGGAGAUAUUUCUAUCAACUGAGGCUGACGGAUGAACCUGAACAAUUCAGAUGUUAGUCUCUUCUUUGCAGGGAGGCAAGACAUGCUAACAAA
This 151-nucleotide antisense RNA is filed under the name Klebsiella quasipneumoniae. Its description in RNAcentral is "sok antitoxin". It matches the Rfam family "sok antitoxin (CssrC)". From Rfam's summary of the family: Also identified in Shigella as CssrC. The record is from RNAcentral. Lineage: Bacteria; Pseudomonadati; Pseudomonadota; Gammaproteobacteria; Enterobacterales; Enterobacteriaceae.